Molecule: ribosomal RNA, 474 nt
Filed under: uncultured bacterium
Lineage: Bacteria
Description: bacterial SSU rRNA
Rfam family: Bacterial small subunit ribosomal RNA
Source: RNAcentral
GGCGGCAGGCUUAACACAUGCAAGUCGAGCGGUAGCAGAUCUAGCUUGCUAGAUGCUGACGAGCGGCGGACGGGUGAGUAACGCGUAGGAACCUGCCCAGUAGUGGGGGAUAGCCCGGGGAAACUCGGAUUAAUACCGCAUACGCUCUACGGAGGAAAGAGGGGCUUCGGGCUCUCGCUAUUGGAUGGGCCUGCGUGAGAUUAGCUAGUUGGUGAGGUAAUGGCUCACCAAGGCGACGAUCUCUAGCUGGUCUGAGAGGAUGAUCAGCCACACUGGGACUGAGACACGGCCCAGACUCCUACGGGAGGCAGCAGUGGGGAUUAUUGCACAAUGGGCGCAAGCCUGAUGCAGCCAUGCCGCGUGUGUGAAGAAGGCUUUCGGGUUGUAAAGCACUUUCAGUGGGGAGGAAGGCCUCGUAGUUAAUAGCUGCGAGGAUUGACGUUACCCACAGAAGAAGCACCGGCUAACUCCGUG